GAUGAAUGCUGGCGGCGUGCCUAACACAUGCAAGUCGAGCGGCAGCGCGAGUAGUUUACUACUUGGCGGCGAGCGGCGGACGGCUGAGUAACGCGUGGGAACGUGCCCCAAAGUGAGGAAUAACUGCCCGAAAGGUUGGCUAAUGCCGCAUAUGAUCUUCGGAUUAAAGGAUUUAUCCGCUCUGGGAGCGGCCCGCGUCGGAUUAGGUUGUUGGUGAGGUAAUGGCUCACCAAGCCGACGAUCCGUAGCUGGUCUGAGGGGAUGAUCAGCCAGACUGGGACUGAGACACGGCCCAGACUCCUACGGGAGGCAGCAGUGAGGAAUCUUCCACAAUGGGCGAAAGCCUGAUGGAGCAACGCCGCGUGAAGGAUGAAGGCCCUCGGGUUGUAAACUUCUUUUAUAAGUGAAGAAUAUGACGGUAACUUAUGAAUAAGCACCGGCUAACUACGUGCCAGCCGCCGCAGUAA
Molecule: ribosomal RNA, 467 nt
Filed under: uncultured bacterium
Lineage: Bacteria
Description: partial 16S ribosomal RNA
Rfam family: Bacterial small subunit ribosomal RNA
Source: RNAcentral